GUUACAAUGGCAGGUACAGAGGGGUGCUACCGGGUGACCGGAUGCCGAUCUCGAAAACCUGUCCCAGUUCGGACUGGAGUCUGCAACCCGACUUCACGAAGUUGGAUUCGCUAGUAAUCGCGCAUCAGCCAUGGCGCGGUGAAUACGUUCCCGGGCCUUGUACACACCGCCCGUCAAGCCAUGGGAGCCGGGGGCGCCUGAAGUCCGGGACCGCGAGGACCGGCCUAGGGCGAAACUGGUGACUGGGGCUAAGUCGUAACAAGGUAUC
RNAcentral lists this ribosomal RNA (268 nucleotides) under uncultured bacterium. RNAcentral describes it as "partial 16S ribosomal RNA". It matches the Rfam family "Bacterial small subunit ribosomal RNA", at positions 1224 to 1500 of the family's 1533-position model. The record is from RNAcentral.